GGAUCGCAGGCUGCAACCCGCCUGCGUGAAGCCGGAAUCGCUAGUAACCGCCGAUCAGCACGCGGCGGUGAAUACGUUCCCGGGCCUUGUACACACCGCCCGUCACGUCAUGGGAGCUGGCCUUACCCGAAGUCGCUCGCCCAACGGGGCAACCCGAGGGAGGUGCCUAGGGUGAGGCUGGUGACUGGGACGAAGUCGUAACAAGGUAGCCGUACGGGAACGUGCGGCUGGAUCACCUCCUUUCUAGGGAG
This 251-nucleotide ribosomal RNA is filed under the name Chloroflexota bacterium. RNAcentral describes it as "Chloroflexi bacterium (sediment metagenome) partial 16S ribosomal RNA". It matches the Rfam family "Bacterial small subunit ribosomal RNA", at positions 1295 to 1533 of the family's 1533-position model. The record is from RNAcentral. Lineage: Bacteria; Bacillati; Chloroflexota.